This is an RNA transcript of Phragmites australis (common reed), 1033 nucleotides long. It is a transcript of the gene named probable glucosamine 6-phosphate N-acetyltransferase 2, with no coding region annotated. The record is from RefSeq and is a predicted model, not a curated record. NCBI's taxonomy places the organism in Eukaryota, Viridiplantae, Streptophyta, Magnoliopsida, Poales, Poaceae. The transcript has 3 exons.
GUAGCACAGAAAACGAAGACCUCCAACUCCCCAAGCCGAAUGGAAAUGCCCCCCGCCCAAGUUCUCGGACCCAAAUGGCAUCCCCCUCGCCGGAACCCGCCGCCGCCGCCGCCGCUGCUGUUGCCGAAACCAACGACCCCGUCCACAUCCGUCGCCUAGAGCUGGCUGACCACGAAAGGGGCUUCGUGGCCCUCCUUUCCCAGCUCUCCACCUGCCCAGAUCUCACCGCGUCCGAGUUUGCCGCGCGCUUCGCCGAGCUCGCGGCCCAAGGUGACGACCACGUUAUCCUCGUGGCCGAGGACCACUCUUCCGCUGCUACGGAGCGGCGGAUCCUCGCGACGGGGUGCCUCUUCGUGGAGCGCAAGUUCCUACGCGGCGGCGGAAAGGUGGGGCACGUGGAAGACGUGGUGGUCGACGCCGCCGCGCGCGGCAGGGAGCUCGGGCUCCGCGUCGUGCGCCGCCUCGUGGAGAACGCCAGGGAGGCCGGCUGCUACAAGGUCAUCCUCGACUGCACCCCCGAGCUGUGCGCCUACUACGCCAAGUGUGGGUUCGUGGAGAAGGGGGUUCAGAUGGCAGUCUACUUCUGAUCCACAGAGAUUCAUUUGUGAUGGUCGAGGGCAUACGAAUUGCUGACACUACACUCUGGAGAGUGGAGAUCCAUCCAUAAUUUCUGUCGCACAUCGCAUAUGUUAAUAAGACACGCCCCUGAGCUAUGGAGUCAGCAAAGCUUUAUGGAUCCGAACUGAAUGCCCCGUAACCGGUAUUCCACUGUGCAGAUGCUUAGGAGAAAUGGAGAAACCAAGUCAAGCAGACAAUACCAUUGAGGAUGCUUGCCCGGUUACCCUCGAUUUCUAAUAUGGCAUAGCGUAGGUUUGAGUUUGCUCGUGGUAUUAUGUCAACAUGGGCGCUUUUGGGGUUUCAACUGGCUAGAUUGCAGAUCAUCGACGUCAGGCAGCUUAAAUGUAAAUAAACAAAUGCAACGCUACUUCACUUUGCUCGAGAAUACUUCGAAUGAAGCUACCGAACAACUGGC